Lolium rigidum is the source of this 370-nucleotide long non-coding RNA. RefSeq lists it as uncharacterized. The transcript is spliced from 3 exons. The record is from RefSeq and is a predicted model, not a curated record. Lineage: Eukaryota; Viridiplantae; Streptophyta; Magnoliopsida; Poales; Poaceae.
UCGACGACCCCAGCUCCGGCGGUCCCGAAUUCCAGGCGGCGCUCGUGGAAAGUCCCGACGGGAGCUACGCGUGGGGCUCUUCCCGGUGGAUUACGACGCGUCCACGAGCUACUGCGCGGCGUUUUCCAUGGAGAGCCUGCCGUCGCCGCGGUUCCUCUCCUCCAUCCGGCAGGAACGAGCGGGUGGCGUACCAGGCCGCGCGAACACGCUCGAACUUGGUGGAUCCGUUAGAAGUCUAUGCCAUACACUGCCACGGUGUUGUUGUGGUCGGCGUGAAGUGGUGGCGGCAUGAGCGGUGAGUGAACUCCACCACGUCGUGAGCGGGUUCCCGUGGCUUGCGGCUUGCUGCUUGGCCUCGUCCGCCAGCGGC